GAGUUUGAUCGUGGCUCAGAGCGAACGCUGGCGGCAGGCUUAACACAUGCAAGUCGAGCGGGCGUAGCAAUACGUCAGCGGCAGACGGGUGAGUAACGCGUGGGAACGUACCUUUUGGUUCGGAACAACACAGGGAAACUUGUGCUAAUACCGGAUAAGCCCUUACGGGGAAAGAUUUAUCGCCGAAAGAUCGGCCCGCGUCUGAUUAGCUAGUUGGUGAGGUAACGGCUCACCAAGGCGACGAUCAGUAGCUGGUCUGAGAGGAUGAUCAGCCACAUUGGGACUGAGACACGGCCCAAACUCCUACGGGAGGCAGCAGUGGGGAAUAUUGGACAAUGGGCGCAAGCCUGAUCCAGCCAUGCCGCGUGAGUGAUGAAGGCCCUAGGGUUGUAAAGCUCUUUUGUGCGGGAAGAUAAUGACGGUACCGCAAGAAUAAGCCCCGGCUAACUUCGUGCCAGCAGCCGCGGU
Molecule: ribosomal RNA, 468 nt
Filed under: uncultured Alphaproteobacteria bacterium
Lineage: Bacteria; Pseudomonadati; Pseudomonadota; Alphaproteobacteria
Description: bacterial SSU rRNA
Rfam family: Bacterial small subunit ribosomal RNA
Source: RNAcentral